Hylaeus volcanicus is the source of this 3315-nucleotide long non-coding RNA. RefSeq lists it as uncharacterized. Lineage: Eukaryota; Metazoa; Arthropoda; Insecta; Hymenoptera; Colletidae. The transcript is spliced from 2 exons. The record is from RefSeq and is a predicted model, not a curated record.
UUAUUAAUUUAGUCUAUUUCAUUCCUUUUUACGUUUACCGUCUAAUGCGUAUAAUACUAGGUUGUCUACUUGCUACCAAUAAGUCAUUUUAUAACAUUACAAUCAAACAAUAAUUCUUCUUCAAAAUAAUUCGCUUCUGAUAGUUUUCAUCCAUCUUUCUGCCAAUUGUUCAAUCCCCAUUUGGAUGUCAAACGUCAUACAGAAUUUUAAUGUCAAAAAUUCGAGCAUUAAAUGACAAAGAAUUUUAAUGUCAAAAAUUCAGGCUUCAAGUGUCUGUGAACUUAUGAGACAACCCAGUAUAUGCGUAUAAUACUAGGUUGUCUAGUUGCUACCAAUAAGUCAUUUUAUAACAUUACAAUCAAACAAUAAUUAUUCUGCAAAGUAAUUCGCUUCUGAUAGUUUUCAUCCAUCUUUCUGCCAAUUGUUCAAUCCCCAUUUGGAUGUCAAACGUCAUACAGAAUUUUAAUGUCAAAAAUUCAAGCAUUAAAUGUCAUAAAGGAUUUUAAUGUCAAAAAUUCAGGCUUCAAGUGUCUGCGAACUUAUGAGACAACCCAGUAUAUGCGUAUAACAAGGUAUCGAGGAAAUACAAAAAAUAAAGCAAAAUAAUUUGUGUACGCGAUACGGUAUACUUUUUAUAAUAGCGAAAAGCGACCGGUUAAGGUGUCUGCACAAUUUAUUUUCGAAGCGGAGCGACUUUCAAAUUCGACCUUUGAAAGCCGAUGCAAUAAUAGAACGGUAUAUAAACCGAGACGCGCGUUUAGUGCCAACUGCGAGUAAUGUUCGAGUACAUGUUUAAUGUCGUGCGUUGCGUUAAACGAUAGAGAAUUGGGUCGAAGCGGAACGAGCGCAUAAUUUGUACGACGAAGUCGCCGUGUAUCGAGGAAUUCGUGUCGUCGUGGAGGUUGCGAUGCGCGAAAAAUCAUUUCUGCCUCGGAGUAUCUGAAACGCAGGAAACACGGUGACUUAACCCUCCGUACCCUCUGUGGUGUGUAUAGAGGGCGGAAGUACCGUAACGGCAACCGACGUCAGCAGUACCACUACAUCUUCGAGAUCUUAAGUACACAAACCCCGUUACAUAGAAACCCCGCGAAACGACGAGAAAGAAGAAAGGAAGAGAAAUAGAAAAACGGAGAAGCCGCACAAGUUUCGAUCGCAUCGUAACGAUUUGGAGUAAUCGUCGGUAGUCGGGGCUCGAGAAGCGUGUACGAGAUUGAAAUCGCAAGGAUUAUAUUCGGUCUCCCCGGUACAUAGAUAGCACACUGGGCCAGUCAAUCGAUAGAUUAGAAUUUUCAUUUACCGUGAGUCGACGGAUGCACCGUAAGCGAAUACUUUAUCGGACAUCGAUGACACAGGUUGAUUCGACGGUUAAGCAAUCUUGCGAGCGAUAAAAAAAAAAAAUAUCCAAAGGCUGCCGAUAGGUUUCCGAUUCGGUUGAUCACAGAGCACGGGGUACAGGCGUCAUAGUCGAUGGGAUCGAAAAAUCACUGCCGGCACUCGGUCAGUCAAUCGAUAGCGCGGAAUUAGUAUAACCGUGUUUGCACGGCUGACACGAACCCAACGAACGUUGAUGCGUAUCGGUCGAUGCGAAACAUGCCAGAACGAAUUUCGGUUCGGCUCUCGACUCGGACGAUGCGACUCGGCGACGCGUCAGCUCGUAGAAAUUGGUCGAUCGACGGCCACGAAGAAAUCAGGUUGUAUCUUCUCGCGAUCCGUCCACGAUAAUGCCGCAAAGGGGUCACGAUGAUUACUGACUGCGAGCGUCGCGACGUUAUCCCGCGGACGGGCGCAUGCGCGGCGACGACCCCUUUUUACCACCGCUUGCUCCAACAUCCCUUACGCGAAUUUCUUUUUCCCCGGUGAAGGUGCAAUUCUACCGUACGGUUGACGUAUCGUCGCAGCGAUUCUCAACUCGCCGAUCAAUUCACCCUUAGGACCGAAUAAACAACAGAACCGAAUAACCUCGCAUCCUAAUUGUAUCGUUAUCGACCCUUCGUCGCUCGAUUAUUCUAAUUACGCAUCUACCCGGGGACUUUCGAAACUAAUUGCGUGUGGAUUUCUAUCCUAGGUAGGAUUUUUUAUUCAAAGGAUUUAAUCGGUGAAAUGUCUUUGAACGACAAGUUUUUAACAUUGAAUUAAAUCAACUUUAUUUCGUUACAGUUACGUGAGAUCGGUAUAACGCAAAUUUUGCGACAGUGUAUGGCGCGCGAUGCAAUGCGACGAAUAAACUUGGUGUCUGUUUUACAUAACAAAACAGUGACGAAUCAAACAACGAAAAGACACUGCAAUUCGUCGCAAUUGAAACGGCAAUUUAUCAAUAGAGUAUUAGAUGAAAGGACCAAGUUUUAUCAUCGGAGAAGUUUCGCUCGCUCGGCGCGUCGUAAAUACGAAUAAUAAAACGGAAACGAAAGAGUAUCGGUACGCUAUUAUCCGAAUGGAAAGCGAACAGACUUCGCGGCGUCGUAUUUCCCUUUCGCGAGCUUUACGAGACGAGCUACAUACGCGCAUUCCGGAGCACGAUUUCAGCUUGACCCUCGUUUCCUGGUAAACAACCGAUUAAACGGGAAAUUUAUUUUUAUCUUGCCGCUAGGUGACGUAAAGACGUCGUUAUAAAUAGUUCCAUAAGUAUCCUAUAAUUACGUCACGUCGACGAAACCUUUGAAAUUCCCUUCUUCGACCCAUAACACACGGUUCAGUGGGCAAUUGCAAGUGGAUUUUCGUGAAGCGUGAACAACCCCUCGAGCUUUCCUGUUCUUUGAAAUGCACCCCUCUAUAUAUACAUAUACAGACGUAUGUACGAGACGUUCCGGAAUUACUUUGUACUUUACCUAUUAUAUCAUCGGAAUUAUGUGCGACGUGUGCUUCUUCGAAUCGCGUGCGAACAUGCUCGAAAGUAUUUUGCACCGUGAACGUGUCUGCAUGGCCGUGCGGAUUAUGCCAAGUGUUUUUUUUUUUUUUGCGCGUGCGUUACGCGCUCCGAUUUCGUUCGCGAUAAGAAUAAAUGCCAAAUAUGCCGAUUAAAUUUCCUGUACAGAGAUAACGGUCUAUAUUCGGAGCGAUCAAUUGACAGUAACGAGGCCUCUUUCGUUCGCGAAGCACCGCCGAUUCCGGAUGCAAAUUUCCCGACGGUAAAAAGAUCCAGGUGAAUAACGAGAGUGGUCGAUUCAUCGAGUCGCGAUAACAUUGUACAACACGUACACGAAUCGUACAACACGUACAAUUUUUCUCCAGGAUAACAAAUUUAUUUAUUCAAAGUGUAACAGUCUUUAUAAAUAACUGGCUUAAGUUAAAUCGCAAAGUAAAGAUCGUUUUAUAUUA